GAUUUCUGAUUGACUGUUUUAGCCCGCUUUCCUCGGAAAGUGAGCGCUGAGAUAAGUUGGUCAUCCUUGUAAGUUGCCGAGCCUGCUCUUCAUUGAGUUGGGUUUGUGUGAUUUACAUCUUUUACUUUGAAAAAAUUAGAGUGUUUCAAGCAGGCUUUAUGCUAUGAAUACAUUAGCAUGGAAUAAUAAUUUAGGACUUCGGUUCUAUUUUGUUGGUUUCUAGGACUGAAGUAAUGAUUGAUAGGGAUAGUUGGGGGUGCUAGUAUUCAGCGGCCAGAGGUGAAAUUCUCGGAUUCGCUGAAGACUAACUUAUGCGAAAGCAUU
Molecule: ribosomal RNA, 324 nt
Filed under: uncultured Sandona
Lineage: Eukaryota; Cercozoa; Glissomonadida
Description: SSU rRNA
Rfam family: Eukaryotic small subunit ribosomal RNA (bases 62-324)
Source: RNAcentral